CUACACUGCUGCAUUCUUCUCUGUGACCUGAGGAGGAUGACUUCUAGGGGCUGUAUUAGCUAGGUUGGGUGCCUUUGGCCUUCUCGGUAGAUUUGGCCAGUGGAAGGCAUGAGGAUACUAGAAGAUGAGAAGAAAAAGAAGUCUGGGUGUUUUCCUGCCUUCCACGUCCCUAGAGAUCUGCUCCUUGCCAUUAGGCCUAUGGGUGAUAAUAGCUUCCUGCUGAUAUUAACUCCUAAGUGUUUUAUCAUCUAUUAUAGGUAAGCUUGAUCCUGCUCCUAUCUUUUAACACAGUGUCUUUAUUAAAGGCUCUGUAAUUCCCUCUCUGAGUCCCAUCUGUGACCUACCACAACCCUGACUGAUUUAGCCACAUUGUUUUCUUUGCUCUCAGCUUAGUCUUGAAUAUGUACAAUGUGGCACACUUGCAGGUUCCUGUCACUUUUAACUAGGUCAUCGUUCACUUUACACCCCUCUAAGUGUUUGGCAAGUGAGCUCUCUUGGCACUCUAAGGCAGUGCUUCCCUAACUUUAAUGACUUGCAUGCACAUCACCUGAGCCAUUUGUUACAACGCAGAUCCUGACUCAGAGGUCACGAGUGGGGCCUGAACUCCUUGACUUCUAAUAAAUUCUUGGGUAUGGAAGAUACGUGGGCCCACAGACCACACUUUGAGGCUCCAAUUCCAACAUGGAAGACGAAGAGUUAUGAAGGGGAGCAGUGGUUUUCCAAGCUCAUUGAAGACAAAGAGUUAUGAAGGGGAGCAGUGGUUUUCCAAGCUCAUUGAAGACAAAGAGUUAUGAAGGGGAGCAGUGGUUUUCCAAGCUCAUUGAAGACAAAGAGUUAUGAAGGGGAGCAGUGGUUUUCCAAGUUCACUUAGUUCUUAACCAGCAGCCUCAGUCCCACCUGACCACAGCCCUGCUACAAAUGCAGAUCCGAGGUCCCGAACGCAGACCUACAUAAUCAGAAGCCUAUGUUUCAGCAAGCCCUCCCACUGAUUCUGAUUCACAGCUAAGCUUGAGAAUCACUGGAAUAGAAGACAGUGCACUUAUAAUAAGAUGUAAAGAGAAACAAGAAAAAGUUAAAAAUGGGGGAAUAAAGUUAAACUAUACAAUUUUGAUUAGUUUCUUCUUUGCUUGCUUGUUAAAUUGCUUCUUUAUGCAAUCACUAUUAAUUUCUCAUGAGUUUAAAUUAAUGGGGUAUAAGAGAUUUUUUUCCAAACCUUACAGUCACCUCAAACCAAAAUCAUACAGCAGAUACACAAAAAGU
RNAcentral lists this long non-coding RNA (1260 nucleotides) under Callithrix jacchus (white-tufted-ear marmoset). RNAcentral's name for it is "lncRNA (ENSCJAG00000083102.1)". The record is from RNAcentral. Lineage: Eukaryota; Metazoa; Chordata; Mammalia; Primates; Cebidae.